UUGCAUCGGGCAAGUCCCAUACAACCAGCUCCCCGUGAAUCCCCCAGGUCAGGAAUGAAGCAAGGGUGUCGGGUUGUAGCGGUGUGAUAUGGUAAGCUUGCCCUUCU
Schleiferia thermophila str. Yellowstone is the source of this 107-nucleotide non-coding RNA. The record is from Rfam. NCBI's taxonomy places the organism in Bacteria, Pseudomonadati, Bacteroidota, Flavobacteriia, Flavobacteriales, Schleiferiaceae.